UCGAGCGGAACGAUGGUAGCUUGCUACCAGGCGUACGAGCGGCGGACGGGUGAGUAAUGCUUAGGAAUCUGCCCAGUAGUGGGGGAUAGCCCGGGGAAACCCGGAUUAAUACCGCAUACGCCCUUUUGGGGAAAGCAGGGGAUCUUCGGACCUUGCGCUAUUGGAUGAGCCUAAGUCGGAUUAGCUAGUUGGUGGGGUAAAGGCUCACCAAGGCGACGAUCCGUAGCUGGUCUGAGAGGAUGAUCAGCCACAUCGGGACUGAGACACGGCCCGAACUCCUACGGGAGGCAGCAGUGGGGAAUAUUGGACAAUGGGGGCAACCCUGAUCCAGCCAUGCCGCGUGUGUGAAGAAGGCUUUCGGGUUGUAAAGCACUUUCAGUGAGGAGGAAGGCCUUAAGAUUAAUACUCUUAAGGAUUGACGUCACUCACAGAAGAAGCACCGGCUAACUCCGUGCCAGCAGCCGCGGUAAUACGGAGGGUGCAAGCGUUAAUCGGAAUUACUGGGCGUAAAGCGCGCGUAGGUGGUUGAGUAAGCGAGAUGUGAAAGCCCCGGGCUUAACCUGGGAACGGCAUUUCGAACUGCUCGACUAGAGUGUGGUAGAGGGUAGUGGAAUUUCCUGUGUAGCGGUGAAAUGCGUAGAUAUAGGAAGGAACACCAGUGGCGAAGGCGGCUACCU
RNAcentral lists this ribosomal RNA (677 nucleotides) under Marinobacter sp. Its description in RNAcentral is "bacterial SSU rRNA". It matches the Rfam family "Bacterial small subunit ribosomal RNA", at positions 62 to 730 of the family's 1533-position model. Lineage: Bacteria; Pseudomonadati; Pseudomonadota; Gammaproteobacteria; Pseudomonadales; Marinobacteraceae. The record is from RNAcentral.